UGGGGAAUAUUGCACAAUGGGGGAAACCCUGAUGCAGCAACGCCGCGUGAAGGAAGACGGUUUUCGGAUUGUAAACUUCUGUUCUUAGUGAAGAUAGUGACGGUAGCUAAGGAGCAAGCCACGGCUAACUACGUGCCAGCAGCCGCGGUAAUACGUAGGUGGCAAGCGUUGUCCGGAAUUACUGGGUGUAAAGGGAGCGCAGGCGGGGAGCCAAGUCAGCUGUGAAAACUACAGGCUUAACUUGUAGACUGCAGUUGAAACUGGUUUUCUUGAGUGAAGUAGAGGUUGGCGGAAUUCCGAGUGUAGCGGUGAAAUGCGUAGAUAUUCGGAGGAACACCGGUGGCGAAGGCGGCCAACUGGGCUUUAACUGACGCUGAGGCUCGAAAGUGUGGGGAGCAAACAGG
RNAcentral lists this ribosomal RNA (404 nucleotides) under uncultured Eubacterium sp. RNAcentral's name for it is "bacterial SSU rRNA". It matches the Rfam family "Bacterial small subunit ribosomal RNA", at positions 355 to 776 of the family's 1533-position model. The record is from RNAcentral. Lineage: Bacteria; Bacillati; Bacillota; Clostridia; Eubacteriales; Eubacteriaceae.